Long non-coding RNA from Juglans microcarpa x Juglans regia, 350 nucleotides. RefSeq lists it as uncharacterized. NCBI's taxonomy places the organism in Eukaryota, Viridiplantae, Streptophyta, Magnoliopsida, Fagales, Juglandaceae. The record is from RefSeq and is a predicted model, not a curated record. The transcript has 2 exons.
AUGUAGCAACGCUAUUUAAAGCUCAUGUUUUGAACCCAGGAGGAUCCGAGUCAGAUGAUACUAAACUUUCCUGUGGCACAUUGAGGGCGUUGGGAUACCUUGAGUUGGCAAUUCAGUGCAAAGAUGGCAGGAAACUGUGAUCUGACUCGGCGCACACGUUUUCCCGAGACAAAGAAAUGUUGUUUUCCCUUACGGAUUGCCAUUUUUAGUUCUUUUUUUUUUUUUUUUCCUUUUAUGGUAAUUCUGGAUAAUGAUUUUGAACCUGAUUUGGGCUAGAUUUUUGCGUUGAUUACUUCUUUCCUUACUAUUUAAUUUUGGCAUGAUUAUUAAAAUUUGCUACUUUUGGAUAA